CGGGGGGGGGCAAGCGUUGUUCGGGAAUUACUGGGGCGUAAAAGGGGCGCGCAGGCGGCCCGGCCAGUCCUACGUGAAAUCCCACAGCUCAACUGUGGAACUGCGUGGGAUACUGCCAGGCUUGAGUCCCGGGAGAGGAGAGUGGAAUUCCCAGUGUAGCGGUGAAAUGCGUAGAUAUUGGGAGGAACACCGGUGGCGAAGGCGGCUCUCUGGACCGGCACUGACGCUGAGGCGCGAAAGCUAGGGGAGCAAACGGGAUUAGAUACCCCGGUAGUCCUAGCCCUAAACGAUAAGCACUUUGUGUGGCGGGCAUCGACCCCUGCCGUGCAGAAGCUAACGCAUUAAGUGCUCCGCCUGGGGAGUACGGUCGCAAAGGCUG
This 379-nucleotide ribosomal RNA is filed under the name uncultured organism. Its description in RNAcentral is "partial 16S ribosomal RNA". It matches the Rfam family "Bacterial small subunit ribosomal RNA", at positions 525 to 896 of the family's 1533-position model. The record is from RNAcentral.